CCUACGGGGUGCAGCAGUGAGGAAUAUUGGUCAAUGGGCGGAAGCCUGAACCAGCCAAGUCGCGUGAGGGAAUAAGGCCCUACGGGUCGUAAACCUCUUUUGCCGGGGAGCAAGGGCGGGGACGUGUCCCGGCCCGGAGAGUACCCGGAGAAAAAGCAUCGGCGAACUCCGUGCCAGCAGCCGCGGUAAUACGGAGGAUGGGAGCGUUAUCCGGUUUUAUUGGGUUUAAAGGAUGCGUAGGCGGGCCUUUAAGUCAGCGGUAAAAAUAAGGGGCUCAAUCCCGUCCGGCCGUUGAAACUGGGGGCCUUGAGUGGGCGAGAGGAUGGCGGAAUGCGUGGUGUAGCGGUGAAAUGCAUAGAUAUCACGCAGAACCCCGAUUGCGAAGGCAGCCAUCCGGCGCCCUACUGACGCUGAGGCACGAAAGUGCGGGGAUCGAACAGGAUUAGAUACCCUAGUAGUC
This 460-nucleotide ribosomal RNA is filed under the name uncultured bacterium. RNAcentral describes it as "partial 16S ribosomal RNA". It matches the Rfam family "Bacterial small subunit ribosomal RNA", at positions 338 to 795 of the family's 1533-position model. The record is from RNAcentral.